GAUGAAUGCUGGCGGCGUGCCUAAUACAUGCAAGUCGAGCGAACAGACGAGGAGCUUGCUCCUCUGACGUUAGCGGCGGACGGGUGAGUAACACGUGGAUAACCUACCUAUGAGACUGGGAUAACUUCGGGAAACCGGAGUUAAUACCGGAUAAUAUAUUGAACCGCAUGGUUCAAUAGUGAAAGACGGUUUUGCUGUCACUUAUAGAUGGAUCCGCGCCGCAUUAGCUAGUUGGUAAGGUAACGGCUUACCAUGGCAACGAUGCGUAGCCGACCUGAGGGGGUGAUCGGCCACACUGGAACUGAGACACGGGCCAGACUCCUACGGGAGGCAGCAGUAGGGAAUCUUCCGCAAUGGGCGAAAGCCUGACGGAGCAACGCCGCGUGAGUGAUGAAGGUCUUCGGAUCGUAAAACUCUGUUAUUAGGGAAGAACAAAUGUGUAAGUAACUAUGCACGUCUUGACGGUACCUAAUCAGAAAGCCACGGCUAACUACGUGCCAGCCGCCGCGGUAA
RNAcentral lists this ribosomal RNA (513 nucleotides) under uncultured bacterium. Its description in RNAcentral is "partial 16S ribosomal RNA". It matches the Rfam family "Bacterial small subunit ribosomal RNA", at positions 28 to 523 of the family's 1533-position model. The record is from RNAcentral.